UUUGGGAAUGCAGCUCUAAAUGGGAGGUAAAUUUCUUCUAAAGCUAAAUACCGGCCAGAGACCGAUAGCGCACAAGUAGAGUGAUCGAAAGAUGAAAAGCACUUUGGAAAGAGAGUUAAAAAGUACGUGAAAUUGUUGAAAGGGAAGCGCUUGCAACCAGACUUGUCCGCAGUUGCUCAGCCGGUCUCCUGACCGGCGUACUCUUCUGCGGCCAGGCCAGCAUCAGUUCGGGCGGUCGGAUAAAGGCCUCGGGAAUGUGGCUCCUCUCGGGGAGUGUUAUAGCCCGGGGCGGAAUGCGGCCAGCCUGGACUGAGGAUCUCGCUUCGGCAAGGAUGCUGGCGUAAUGGUUGUAAGCGGCCCGUCUUGAAACACGGACCAAGGAGUCUAACAUCUAUGCGAGUGUUUGGGUGUCAAACCCAUACGCGUAAUGAAAGUGAACGGAGGUGGGAACCCGCAAGGGCGCACCAUCGGCCGAUCCUGAUGUCUUCGGAUGGAUUUGAGCAAGAGCAUAGCUGUUGGGACCCGAAAGAUGGUGAACUAUGCCUGAAUAGGGUGAAGCCAGAGGAAACUCUGGUGGAGGCUCGCAGCGGUUCUGACGUGCAAAUCGAUCGUCAAAUUUGGGUAUAGGGGCGAAAGACUAAUCGAACCAUUAACAUUGGCGGCCCUUUGUUACGUGCUUAGGCUGCUAGGUGGUUAAGAGGCGGCUCAAAGCGCUCGCCUAGUCCCUCUGUCGGGGCAACAUCGUCAAACUGUUCGGGACGUCCUUAGAGCUUAGACUACCGCGGCCGGGCGAAAGGCUCGGUGCAGCACAGGU
RNAcentral lists this ribosomal RNA (814 nucleotides) under Neodeightonia sp. MFLUCC 11-0026. RNAcentral's name for it is "eukaryotic LSU rRNA". It matches the Rfam family "Eukaryotic large subunit ribosomal RNA", at positions 273 to 1415 of the family's 3401-position model. The record is from RNAcentral. Lineage: Eukaryota; Fungi; Ascomycota; Dothideomycetes; Botryosphaeriales; Botryosphaeriaceae.